AUGAACGCUAGCUACAGGCUUAACACAUGCAAGUCGAGGGGCAGCAUGGUCUUAGCUUGCUAAGGCCGAUGGCGACCGGCGCACGGGUGAGUAACACGUAUCCAACCUGCCGUCUACUCUUGGACAGCCUUCUGAAAGGAAGAUUAAUACAAGAUGGCAUCAUGAUUCCGCAUGGUUUCAUUAUUAAAGGAUUCCGGUAAAGGAUGGGGAUGCGUUCCAUUAGGUUGUUGGUGAGGUAACGGCUCACCAAGCCUUCGAUGGAUAGGGGUUCUGAGAGGAAGGUCCCCCACAUUGGAACUGAGACACGGUCCAAACUCCUACGGGAGGCAGCAGUGAGGAAUAUUGGUCAAUGGGCGCUAGCCUGAACCAGCCAAGUAGCGUGAAGGAUGAAGGCUCUAUGGGUCGUAAACUUCUUUUAUAUAAGAAUAAAGUGCAGUAUGUAUACUGUUUUGUAUGUAUUAUAUGAAUAAGGAUCGGCUAACUCCGUG
Molecule: ribosomal RNA, 488 nt
Filed under: uncultured bacterium
Lineage: Bacteria
Description: bacterial SSU rRNA
Rfam family: Bacterial small subunit ribosomal RNA
Source: RNAcentral